RNAcentral lists this long non-coding RNA (204 nucleotides) under Bos taurus (domestic cattle). RNAcentral's name for it is "long non-coding RNA NONBTAT025989". Lineage: Eukaryota; Metazoa; Chordata; Mammalia; Artiodactyla; Bovidae. The record is from RNAcentral.
GAUGGUCUUAUCCCAACAAGCUGUAUAAUUCCAGACAGAGGAGGCAGGCAGAGACACCGCUCUUUGUAGAGGAGUUAGAAAUGACCGUUUUGAGACGAAUUCAGACUUGAGGAUGACCAGUGUAGCUGACCCUUAGAAGGAAGCGUCCUUGGGGCGUGGCCAGUGGAGCGUUCCAGGCUCUGCACCCAGCGCCCAGGUGGACAU